AGUCCCGUAGCUCAGUUGGUAGAGCGCCUUCCUUACAAGCAGGAUGUCACAGGUUCAAGUCCUGUCGGGGCUACCA
RNAcentral lists this transfer RNA (76 nucleotides) under Rivularia sp. (in: cyanobacteria). Its description in RNAcentral is "Rivularia sp. (in: Bacteria) tRNA-Val". It matches the Rfam family "tRNA". Rfam says of the family: Transfer RNA (tRNA) molecules are approximately 80 nucleotides in length. Their secondary structure includes four short double-helical elements and three loops (D, anti-codon, and T loops). Lineage: Bacteria; Bacillati; Cyanobacteriota; Cyanophyceae; Nostocales; Rivulariaceae. The record is from RNAcentral.